GGCCUUGUCGUCCAACGGACAAGACAUCGGGUUUUCAACCCGGAAACCGGGGUUCAACUCCCCGCAAGGCUA
Molecule: transfer RNA, 72 nt
Filed under: Propionibacteriaceae bacterium
Lineage: Bacteria; Bacillati; Actinomycetota; Actinomycetes; Propionibacteriales; Propionibacteriaceae
Description: tRNA-Glu
Rfam family: tRNA
About the family: Transfer RNA (tRNA) molecules are approximately 80 nucleotides in length.
Source: RNAcentral